RNAcentral lists this ribosomal RNA (366 nucleotides) under Triticum aestivum (bread wheat). RNAcentral describes it as "partial small subunit ribosomal RNA". The record is from RNAcentral. Lineage: Eukaryota; Viridiplantae; Streptophyta; Magnoliopsida; Poales; Poaceae.
AUGGGUGCUUGCGCGCCGCCGAGCUUCGAGUCGACGGUGCCGCAGCGUCCGCGCCGCUGCCGGAGCGCGUGCGCUCGCCGCCACUGCAACCAAACACCGCUGCAGCACCCAACGUCCGCCUCCACCACCACCGGUCCACGGCGUCCCCGCUGCCGCCGGAUUGCCUUCGCCACUGCAGCAGGAUCCUGCGUCCGCUGUGGCCGCGCUGUGACGACGCCUGGCGCUCGUUCUUCUGGUAGCCAACGGCAUAGCGCACGGGAGAGACUCUCCGAAACAAGCAAAAAUCCGACGAACCAAGCGCAGCAUAUACAUGUGGGAAUAUCCGGUUGUAUUUUACAAAUCUCCUGUAAUAUACUACCUCCGUAA